UAUAAUGUAGUUUUAUUUUAAAAUUAAAUUGAUAAUUAAAGUUAAGUAAAUUAAGGCAAGAAUGCAAAAAGCAGCUCAUGACGGGUAGGGAAAAACUAAGAAGAUUGCAAGCACUGGUGAAAUUAUGUUUUCUUCCUCUCUCCUUGAAGUCCACUAGUUAUGCCGCAACUUUGGCAAGAAACCUAAUUGUUCCUUAAAAUUUUUACUUCCCUUCCAAACUGGAGUGACCCUUUUGGAGUAGGUGCAGCCCAGUUCUUCAAAUGGCAGAUUGCUCAACAGCAGCCAUACCAGAGCUGGUCUUGUAUCAUCAGCUUGGUCUGGCUCAUUUCAAUAGGUAGAGCAAUACAACCUUACCCUUCUUCAACAACCAUUUCUGCAACAAGCAGAAAGCUAUAUUAAAAGCAUGUUCAGUUAGAUCCUGGAAUUAAGCCUUCAGGAUUUAGGAAGUGCCAGUACCAAUGCUGCAAUGCAACCUUAUCUCAGUCCCUUGGGCAUGUAUGCUUUCCUAUAAUCUUCAAUUGUAUGACUGUUAUUUUUUACAGUAUGAUGCAGCAAAGAAACACCACUAUUUCAGUGGACACCAGUAGGAGCUCAAGUUCAACUCUGGGCAGUGGUCAGCAGCAUACCAAAGUGCACACAGGACCCACCUAUGAUCACCACUUAAUCUGAACACUCCCUUGCCUUAUGGUGGCUAAAGAAUACAGCAUACCUCUGCAUGACUGAAGAACAAAGGAGCAGAGGAGAAGGAUUGAAGCUAUAAGAAGAGCUGUUGACACACAGCCUUUCAUACUGUGGACCACUGGUUAGCGAACUCUAGGAUAAAGAAAUGAGGGAAUCGCAGUGCGAAGACCCACAGAUAUCCUCCUCCCUAUUUCCCAUACACAACACCUUUAUGUUUGUAGAAGAGCGAAUCGGAGCGGUGCAGGACCGGGGCAGCGCAUCCUCCGCCUGGACCCCGCCGCCGCGCAGCGCUGCGCCGGAGCGGGGGCACCUUCCCCUUUGCUCUGCGUGUGCCUGUGUCUGUGCGUGCCCGCCCGCCCGCCCGCCGGGGUGUGUGUGUGUGUGUGUGUGUCUGUGUCCAUGUGUCCCUGCCUGCCUCCAGCCGCCCGCGAGCGAGCCGUGAGCGCCGCCGCUGCCCUUUGAUCCCGGCGUUAGUGUUAGUUAGGGGCCGGGAGGCGCGCGGGGCGCAGCCCUCGGCACCGCCGCGCCAGCUCUCGCCCCGGCACGGCGCCCGCUCGCCCGCCGGGAACACAUCCCCGGCCGCUGAGGGAUACUGCGACCGGGGACAAGCCAG
Neopsephotus bourkii (Bourke's parrot) is the source of this 1294-nucleotide long non-coding RNA. RefSeq lists it as uncharacterized. NCBI's taxonomy places the organism in Eukaryota, Metazoa, Chordata, Aves, Psittaciformes, Psittacidae. The transcript has 4 exons. The record is from RefSeq and is a predicted model, not a curated record.